UACGAACUGUGCAAACGUUAUUCGGAUUCACUGGGCUUAAAGGGUGCGUAGGCGGCCAUGUAAGUAGGGUGUGAAAUCCCCCGGCUUAACCGGGGAACUGCGCCCUAAACUGUGUGGCUUGAGUGAGAUAGGGGUGUGUGGAACUUCAGGUGGAGCGGUGAAAUGUGUUGAUAUCGGAAGGAACGCCGGUGGCGAAAGCGACACACUGGGUCUCAACUGACGCUGAGGCACGAAAGCCAGGGGAGCGAACGGG
Molecule: ribosomal RNA, 253 nt
Filed under: uncultured bacterium
Lineage: Bacteria
Description: partial 16S ribosomal RNA
Rfam family: Bacterial small subunit ribosomal RNA
Source: RNAcentral